This 378-nucleotide ribosomal RNA is filed under the name Halomicrobium sp. HArcel3. RNAcentral describes it as "bacterial SSU rRNA". It matches the Rfam family "Archaeal small subunit ribosomal RNA", at positions 501 to 879 of the family's 1478-position model. Lineage: Archaea; Methanobacteriati; Methanobacteriota; Halobacteria; Halobacteriales; Haloarculaceae. The record is from RNAcentral.
UUAUUGGGCCUAAAGCGUCCGUAGCUGGCCGAGCAAGUCUGUCGGGAAAUCCAGUAGCUCAACUACUGGACGUCCGGUGGAAACUGUUCGGCUUGGGACCGGAAGAUCCAAGGGGUACGUCCGGGGUAGGAGUGAAAUCCUGUAAUCCUGGACGGACCACCGAUGGCGAAAGCACCUUGGAAGCACGGAUCCGACAGUGAGGGACGAAAGCUAGGGUCUCGAACCGGAUUAGAUACCCGGGUAGUCCUAGCCGUUAACGAUGCCCGCUAGGUUUGGCGCAGGCUACGAGCCUGCGCUGUGCCGAAGUGAAGACGUAAGCGGGCCGCCUGGGAAGUACGUCCGCAAGGAUGAAACUUAAAGGAAUUGGCGGGGGAGCAC